This 253-nucleotide ribosomal RNA is filed under the name uncultured bacterium. RNAcentral describes it as "partial 16S ribosomal RNA". It matches the Rfam family "Bacterial small subunit ribosomal RNA", at positions 524 to 776 of the family's 1533-position model. The record is from RNAcentral.
UACGUAGGGUGCAGGCGUUAAUCGGAAUUACUGGGCGUAAAGCGUGCGCAGGCGGUUUUGUAAGCCAGAUGUGAAAGCCCCGGGCUUAACCUGGGAAUGGCAUUUGGGACUGCAAGGCUGGAGUGUGGCAGAGGAGACUGGAAUUCCUGGUGUAGCAGUGAAAUGCGUAGAUAUCAGGAGGAACACCGAUGGCGAAGGCAGGUCUCUGGGCUGACACUGACGCUCAUGCACGAAAGCGUGGGGAGCAAACAGG